Melopsittacus undulatus (budgerigar) is the source of this 340-nucleotide long non-coding RNA. RefSeq lists it as uncharacterized. The record is from RefSeq and is a predicted model, not a curated record. NCBI's taxonomy places the organism in Eukaryota, Metazoa, Chordata, Aves, Psittaciformes, Psittaculidae. The transcript has 3 exons.
GUGUUUAACAAAGUCUCGGAAGCAGCAGUGACCCUGCAGAACAGUGGGAAGCUGGGAUUUGCCUUUGUGGUGCUGAGCCCCGGCACAGGCACUGCAGCCAGCCCUCUGCCUGGCGUGCCCCUGGUCGUGCCCAGCAUGGGUUACAUUGAACCUGGCAAGCAGCAAGUGCUGAAAGUCUAUUACCUGCCAGGAGUGCCUGGAGUCUUCUGCAGGGCUUUCCAGAUCCAAGUGGGUCACCUGGAGCCAGCAAAAAUCUGCCUGAAAGGAGAAGGGACCUUUCCCAGGAUCCACUUGGACCUGCCCAGGAACAUCAAAGGCAACGCCAAAUAUGAGAAGAUCC